RNAcentral lists this ribosomal RNA (770 nucleotides) under uncultured bacterium. Its description in RNAcentral is "bacterial SSU rRNA". It matches the Rfam family "Bacterial small subunit ribosomal RNA", at positions 10 to 775 of the family's 1533-position model. The record is from RNAcentral.
AGUUUGAUCAUGGCUCAGAUUGAACGCUGGCGGUAGGCUUAACACAUGCAAGUCGUGCGAGAAAGUAUCUUCGGAUAUGAGUAGAGCGGCGGACGGGUGAGUAACGCGUAGGAAUCUACCUAGUAGAAGGGGAUAGCCCGGGGAAACUCGGAUUAAUACCGUAUACCUCCUUCGGGAGAAAGAAGGCCUCUCUUUGAAGCUUUCGCUAUUAGAUGAGCCUGCGUAAGAUUAGCUUGUUGGUGAGGUAAAGGCUCACCAAGGCGACNAUCUUUAGCGGGUCUGAGAGGACGAUCCGCCACAUUGGGACUGAGACACGGCCCANACUCCUACGGGAGGCAGCAGUGGGGAAUAUUGGACAAUGGGCGCAAGCCUGAUCCAGCCAUACCGCGUGUGUGAAGAAGGCCCUAGGGUUGUAAAGCACUUUAAGUUGGGAAGAAAAGUUAUUGGUUAAUACCCAAUAACCGUGACAUUACCAUCAGAAUAAGGACCGGCUAAUUCCGUGCCAGCAGCCGCGGUAAUACGGAAGGUCCAAGCGUUAAUCGGAAUUACUGGGCGUAAAGCGCGCGUANGUGGUUUAUUAAGUUGGAUGUGAAAUCCCCGGGCUCAACCUGGGAACUGCAUCCAAAACUGAUUCACUAGAGUACGAUAGAGGGAGGUAGAAUUCACAGUGUAGCGGUGGAAUGCGUAGAUAUUGUGAAGAAUACCAAUGGCGAAGGCAGCCUCCUGGAUCUGUACUGACACUGAGGUGCGAAAGCGUGGGUAGCGAACAG